Molecule: long non-coding RNA, 1182 nt
Filed under: Cricetulus griseus (Chinese hamster)
Lineage: Eukaryota; Metazoa; Chordata; Mammalia; Rodentia; Cricetidae
Description: lncRNA (ENSCGRG00015042641.1)
Source: RNAcentral
CUAUGGUGUAGAAAAAUCUCCAGGUCCAGACUGAAUGCAGAGCUGAACUCCAGGGUGGAGUGAGAGGAGGCGACACAGCAGUCUAUUCCGACAUUUGGAAAUGUUCUAGAGCAUGCUACAGCAAUCCGGAGGCAGAGACAUGAGGAUGUCUGUCAGUUCAAGACCAGCCUAGCCUACAUACCAAGUCCCAUGCCAGCCCCAAAAGAACACCUCCCUCCCAGACAAAACCAAAGUAAACAACAACACUCCAGAAAACCCAAAACCAACCAACCAAACAAACCCCACAAAUACUCAGCUGUCUCUCCUCAUCAUCCACCCCGAGAAGAGGAUCCUUUCUCUCAAUAAAUCAUAGUAGAGAAAGGUCCAUGUGGUUAUGUUUGACUAUCUGGACAAUCCAGGAUGCUCUCCCCACCUUAAUUUAAUCCAGUUUACAAGCACUCAAAAGGCAGAGACAGGCAAAUCUCUGAGUUUGGGGCAAGUCUGGUCUACAUGGUAAGCUCCAGGCCAGCCAAGGAAAUAAAUCUUUGUGGGAGGAUAAUGAGCGGUUGUAAAGUGUUAAGUCCGGAGGAAACAAAAGACACGAUCUCCUUUCUAAGAAGCAGGAAGGCGAAGACCGCCCUGCAGGCUGCAGUUAGAGUUCUCAAUCGCAUACUGACUCAUUAGCCGCCACCUGAGCAUACAUAGCCUGGGGCGAGGAUGCCUCAAAAGCAAGAUUUUUGAGGAGUGGCACAGGAUCUCUAAUUCUGCUCAUUUCAUUCUCAGGGACCACACCCUGCUGGAUGGGAGGAAGGACUCCAAAGCCUCGGGGCGGAAGCUUUCACGCGGCCACAGACCUGACCAUCUAUGGUCACAAAGCGAACAGAGCAAACAGGAAGUGGGGCUCGAGUGGAAGGUUUCCUCCACCUUCCCAGCCCUAGCCACAGAACCGAGCAAGGGCGGGCUUGCCUAAACGCUCAAAGGCGGGCUAGCUGCGCUCAGCCUCCGUGAAUCCAAUGCUUUCCCGCACCACAGACAGGGAAACCAAGGCUUGUACGCCCGGCGAGGGGUGGAGUUUGGCCUGGAUCCCCUCCGCCAGAGACUGCCUCUCAGAGCCUCCAGCGUUACUGUUGUUCUCUGAGCCGCUUCCGGAGUGAGGUUAGAAAUGGACCAGCCUCCGUCACUGAGCACAAACUGACAGGGGAA